Molecule: non-coding RNA, 107 nt
Organism: Cucumis melo (muskmelon)
Lineage: Eukaryota; Viridiplantae; Streptophyta; Magnoliopsida; Cucurbitales; Cucurbitaceae
Source: Rfam
AUUUGAUGAUGUGGAAAGCUUCCACAUAACUCUUUGCACCGCUCCCAAUAUUCGAAGAAAGACUCUCCUACGGCUUGUUUGAUGCAAUAGAUCUCCUUUCUUAUGCU